UUGAAAAAUUAAUCCAUUUAUUUAUUUAUUAUUUAUUUUGUGGGAGUGGGAAUAUUAGAGCUUCACAGAAGAGGGGUUUUCAGAAGAAAGAAAAAAAAAGAGGGGUUUUUGAGUUGGGCUUUGGGAAAUAACAUUUCUAUGACCUGAAGAGGCAUUUUCAUUGAACAAAAACCAUGAGGUCCAGUAUGUUUAGUGUUUUAGCAGAAGAGCAGAGUUCACAAUUUUGUUGAUUUAAAUAUAGUAAAAGAAGGAAAACAGUAUGAAGUAACUUUGUGAUGUCAUCUCCUUACAUUGCAUGUGCUACCUUUCAGUCAGUAAAGGACUAAAUAUACAACAAUGGUUUUUGUAACUAACCAAAAUGUGUAGUAGGUUAUGCCAUCUAGGUUUGCUUAGGACAAAUUGAGGGCUUUAUGAUUAAAUGAGUUUAAAAAGCAAUGCAUGCCAUAUUACAUUUUCGAAUAUUUAUUCUUAGCAUAUUUCAGUCAGAAGUUAUAAAGAAAUCUGUUUAGCUUUUUUUUUUUUUUAAGUUUAUAGUCCCAAACAUAUUUGAUAGAUUUGAUAGAUCUUUUUCAUGGAAUGCCAGUAACAUCUGAAGGAACAUGGUGUUAUAUUCGUUUUUGAGACACGUUUCUAGAAUGUGUAUAUUUUUAUCUCUAAUUGUUUAUUUUCUGAGCUAUUUUUUCUGCGAGGGCAUACCAAGUUUCCCUACUCUUCUUUCUUUCUUUUUUUUAACUGAAUGAAUCAGAAAAAGUGAGAUCCAAAAUUCUCUGAAGCACUAAUCUAUGAGCUUUGAUGAAUUUCUGAAUCUUUUCAUGCAAAAAGUUGUAAAAAUGAAUCUGGUUUUAUUUUAUUUUUAGUUUCUUAGGAAAAUUAAUAUAGGGGGAUUAAGGAGAUAGCAUAGUUGUUAUACAAAAAGACUUUUGUGCCUGAAAUAGCAAAGGUCCCAAGUUCAAUCUCUAACACCACCAUAAGCCAGAGCUUAGCAGUACUCUGGGUAGACUAACUAAAUAAUAAUAUAGCAAAGGUAUAUUAAUAGAUUAAGAGUAUGUCUGUUAUCAGAAAUUGUAGAUGAGGCCAGAUGGUGACACACCUAGCUGAGAACAUGCAGUACCAUGCACAAGGACCUGGGUUCAAGCUGCUGCUCCCCACCUGUGAGGGGGAACCUUCAGGAGCAAUUAAAAGAAGAAGAAGAAGAAGAAAAUAUAGAUAAGAGAGAUAACAGCACAGGAAGGGAUAAUGCAAAGAGACUCUCAUACUUGAUACUCCAAAGUCCCAGGUUCAGUUCCCUGUACCAGAGCUGAGUGCUCUGGUGAGAGAAAGAGACAAGAUCUAGAGUUAUGAUAGUAACAUUAAAAGGACAUAUAAGAAAUGGGGUGGGAGUAGGUAGCAUAAUGGUUAUGGAAAGAGACUUUCAUACCUGAGGCUCCAAAGCCCCAUGUUCAGUCCCCCACACAUCCAUAAGCCAGAGCUGAUCAGUGCUCUGGUAUUAAAAAAAAAAAAAGUUACAAAGAAAGAAAUGUGAAAGAGGUAAGUUUUAGAGGCUGAUUGGCAGGAGGAAGAAGAGAUAAGUUAUUGGAUUACUGCAGACAAUUUAGACUGAAUGAGUGCAUUUAUAUUUAGAAUAUGUUAAUACAUUUUAUAUUCCUAUUUCAUAUUAUCAUCGGUCUACUUUAAAAAUAAUUUUUGAGCAGAUGUAACUUCCUUUGACAUUUAGGCAACAGGAAAACAUCAAAAGCAGGCCAGUUCUCUCUUUUGUUCACUUUGUAUUUUAUGGAUUGCUGGGAUCUAGUUUUUGUGAACCAGGAUUAAAAAGAUUACUUCAAACACUAUUUGGCAAAGAGAAAAGACUUCUGAGUGGUGAACACUGGUGUAUCUCUUGAAAUGGGGUUUCACCAAGUAUGGUCCACAUGAAUCUCUUCAUCCAUCUCUUUAUUGAGUACAUGUGCAUACAGCUAUGUCAAGUAGAAACAUCUUAGGGGAAUACAUAAACAUCUUCAGUGAGUAGAUAUCUGAAUAAUCUCUGUCCUAGUAUGUAAACCACUGUAAAUCAGAUUUGUUAAUCUCCAGUUGUAGGGAUUACAUCAAAUUCUAUGUUUAUUAUACAACUCCUGACCUUACCCCAAGUAUAUGGACAUAAUUCAGGGAUAUCAGAUAAGGCCUUUUUUGUUUUGCAGGGUUUUUAGCCCAUUACUUGUGUUUAUUUUGAUAUUGGCCAAACAUCCCUGGAAGCUGGAAACAGGAAUAUUAAGAGAAGACAAAGAAUUUCUGACAUGACUUGAUCUAAUUCAGUGUUCUAUAUAAUUAGAGAAAUGGGUAAUAUUCUCAUAAGUAACAUGCAUUAUAAGUCACAGGGUCCCUACCAGUGAGUUAUCUAGUUUUAUUUUUAGGUAACCUUUUCAUGAGCCCUCGUCUUUCAGGUAUUUUUGAAUCUUAGUGCAGAGGGGAAUUUCAGGACAUGUAUCAGUGUGUCCCCCUUAUCCUUCACAAUUGUAAUUUCAGACACUAUGUUGACCUUUAUGUAGGAAAAUUCACUUAAGAAUAAAGGACAGUAAGAGAGGAGGACAGAAAGUGAAAUCUGUACUGGGUAUGGUAUAUUGUACCAGAGAAAAGGACUCCAGGGAAGGAGAGAAAGGGAUAAGAUGUGAAGGGUUAUUGAUUGAGGUUCUGCUGUGUCUCCUAGUCACCAAUCAAUGGAAGAUGAAUGUCUGUGCUGUAUGUUAAAACCUAUAGUGUAAACCAUUCCCCAACAAAAUUUUAAAAAGAAAAAGGCAGAUUUGACAGUAACUAUUUCUGUCUUAAUACAGUAUCAGAAGCUCUUCUUUAAAAUGUUCAUGAAUCUUAAGGUAAGAAUACUCCUGUUCCAGUUCAAGCUCAGGACAUAAGCAGAUGGCAGCUUCAAAAACUGCAUGUAUGCCACCUGCCCACUUUUUCCAUUGAGUGCUCAAAAGUCCCGAAGGACAAUUACAUAGAUAAUUAUCAAGUGCAUGAGCAAACUCUGACCUUUAUGUAAAGCUCCCAGUUAUUUUCACCCUUUAAUAGUUACCUGCAGAAAGCAUGCUGCUGAUAUUUCCCUUUUUUUUUUCUUUCUUAUUUUAUUAUUGACUUAAUAAUGAUUGACAAGAUUAUGGGAUAAGAGGAGUACAAUUCCAUACAAUUCCCACCACCAGAGUUCUGUAUCCCAUCCUCUCCAUGGUUCCCUAUUUUUCAUCCCUCUGGGAAUGUGGAUCAAAGAUCUUUAUGGGGUGCAGAAUGUGGGAAGUCUGGCUUCUGUAGUUGCUUCUCUGCUGGACAUGGGUGUUGACUGGUCAAUCCAUACUCCCAGUCUCUCUCUACUUUUCCCUAGUGGGGUAGGGCUCUGGAGAGGUGGGGUUCCAGGACACAUUGGUCUGUCUAGGGAAGUCAGGUUGGUAUCAUGGAAGCAUCUGCAGCUUGGUGGCUGAAAAGCACUAAGUAGAACAAGUUGUUCAAUAGUCAGGAACCUUAAAGUAAGAAUAUAGUAAGUUAGAUUUGGGAUCUUUAUAUUGAAAGAACUAGGAAUUCUAUUUUAGGUAUAUUCCAAGGGGCCCAUGACUUUACAGAUUUUUGCUUGAGCCCAACAGCUAACAUGCAGGUGGGUAUUAUCUGGGAAAAUGGUGUCAGUGUUGGGAAUAGGGAAUAGAAAGCUGGAUCAAGGCAGAGAAUAGCUCUCAAAUAUGGGUAAAGUAUGUAAAUACCAUUAACUGUAAGCCCUAUCUAUCUGACCUCGGGCCCAUGUCUGUCCAUAUUUAGCACAGGAGCCUGUGUGACCUCUGAAUCCCUGUCAGUCUGGGCUCACAUCCCAUGAUCAUAGCUAGGAACAUUCUAGGCUGCAUUCAUUUCAGGACCAGUCUUCCUCAAAUGGCAGAGUAUGCUGACCCAGCCUCCCUUCAGAGAGUGGGGCAGUUUCUACCAUUGUUGUUCUACAUUGAGGACAAAGUCCUAUAGAAGCCCACUAGAGCAUUUAUGAUGUUGUUCCUGAUGUAGAUGACCAAUAAUGUUGGAGAGAGGGAUCUGUUAGAGGUCUAGGCCUAUCAUAUUGAUGUGGGAAUCCCAGGAUUCCCUGACUAGGCUCUGGGAUGAUGGGAUGGCUUGGUACUGACCAAAAGGGCAGGUCUCUUGCCCUAAUUCAGCUUUUGUAGUCCUUACUUUAUCUGACAGGGUUAGACUUAGAGUGAUUGAGGGAAGUGAAGUAGGAAGUAGAUGAGGAGACUAUCUAGGCCUAAGUAGGAAAUACUUAAGUACUUUAUGUAAUUUGGGUUUUUUUUAGGUCUUUCUACUUACUUGCUGCACUGAAUCACUGGAAAUUAUUGCGCACUUUUACUUUAAGGUAUAUAUACGCAUGUUCCCUAUCUCAUGGGCCCUGGUCUAUAUCUAAGUUCUGUAACUUUUUAGGAAGUGCACCACCUGAAAUGGAGUUAAGGAGUCCUAUGAGGUAGGGAAAGAAGCAGAAGGGUUGACAUCCCAGGCCUGGCAUCUCUGGACACAGUCUAAAUUGAAACAUGUCGAGGUGCCACUGAUUGCAAUUAUUUGGUUGAGAUCAGCAGAUGUACUAUCAAAUGGUAUGGAUUUAGGGAAGCAUGAAGGAAAAUUAACAAAGCCCCGUAGGACUGGGAGAAAUACGGGUUUUAUAAAGAAUGAGGAAGGUUCCUUGAUGUCUUAGAGUUUAAUAAGGCAAUAGAUAAUUAUUAUUAUAACCAAGUUAUUUGAGAACUUGUUUACUUUGAAAAUCCCUGGUUAGGAUUUACUGUACUAUGCAAGUGUAAUGCUAAAUGUGUGUGCUUAUGCUGGGUAAGUUGACUUUUGGAACUCUAACUCAGCUACCCCAGAGCAACUUGAGGGAAACUGCUUUAGCCACAUCCUGUUUCUGUUCUGGUAGAUGUCUCCCCAGACCACCUCACGAAACACUGUUCAUUUGAUUUUU
Molecule: long non-coding RNA, 4939 nt
Organism: Erinaceus europaeus (western European hedgehog)
Lineage: Eukaryota; Metazoa; Chordata; Mammalia; Eulipotyphla; Erinaceidae
Exons: 2
Source: RefSeq, a predicted model, not a curated record